Molecule: long non-coding RNA, 554 nt
Organism: Sinocyclocheilus anshuiensis
Lineage: Eukaryota; Metazoa; Chordata; Actinopteri; Cypriniformes; Cyprinidae
Exons: 3
Source: RefSeq, a predicted model, not a curated record
CAAAACAAAAUCAAUUUUGCUGUAUUAGAAGUCUGAAAUAAUUUUUCAAGAGAAAAAAAACAACAACACACAUGCAGUUGCUUUAACAAAGUCAAUGUCACUAUGUAACAAAACAAACAAAAAAACCUUAGAUGGUUUUGGAUACCAGGCCAUAUUCCAGAUCAACUAAUUAUAACUUGCCCCACACUCCACCUAAUUUAAUACAUUCAUUGCAAUACCACGUAAUGCCACUAGGGAGCAGCACAGAUAAAGGAAUAUCCUCCUGCGUUUAAAAACAAUCUCAUCUGACCGCCUCGGUCAAGACGUGAAAACUUGUCAUGAAACAAAUUAGAAGCUAACAGAAAAAAUAACACUUUCAAAAAACAAUGAUACAUUUACACAAUAAGGAGCAACAUGAUCCCAGUGAAGCAUAAACACAAGAUCCACCAAUUAGCCUUCACAUAAAAACCUGAAAUGAAGCGACUGAAGACAUGAAGGGUGCAGGACGUCCUCUUUAAUGGAGGCCCAAGCCAUGCGUGGUGUGGUGAAGCUGGCGGCCCAGUCCCCUGUAGAGG